RNAcentral lists this ribosomal RNA (486 nucleotides) under uncultured bacterium. RNAcentral's name for it is "partial 16S ribosomal RNA". It matches the Rfam family "Bacterial small subunit ribosomal RNA", at positions 28 to 507 of the family's 1533-position model. The record is from RNAcentral.
GACGAACGCUGGCGGCGUGCUUAACACAUGCAAGUCGAACGCUGAAGACCUGGCUUUUGUUGGGUUGGAUGAGUGGCGAACGGGUGAGUAACACGUGAGUAACCUGCCCUCUUCUUUGGGAUAACGCCCGGAAACGGGUGCUAAUACUGGAUAUUCACUGAUCUUCGCAUGGGGGUUGGUGGAAAGGUUUGUUUUGGUGGGGGAUGGGCUCGCGGCCUAUCAGCUUGUUGGUGGGGUGAUGGCCUACCAAGGCUUUGACGGGUAGCCGGCCUGAGAGGGUGACCGGUCACAUUGGGACUGAGAUACGGCCCAGACUCAUACGGGAGGCAGCAGUGGGGAAGAUUGCACAAUGGGCGAAAGCCUGAUGCAGCGACGCCGCGUGAGGGAUGGAGGCCUUCGGGUUGUAAACCUCUUUCGCUAAUGGUCAAGCCGCAACUGUGGGUUGUGGUGAGGGUAGUGGGUAAAGAAGCGCCGGCUAACUACGUG